GACGAACGCUGGCGGCGUGCUUAACACAUGCAAGUCGAACGGAAAGGCCCUGCUUUUGUGGGGUGCUCGAGUGGCGAACGGGUGAGUAACACGUGAGUAACCUGCCCUUGACUUUGGGAUAACUUCAGGAAACUGGGGCUAAUACCGGAUAGGAGCUCCUGCUGCAUGGUGGGGGUUGGAAAGUUUCGGCGGUUGGGGAUGGACUCGCGGCUUAUCAGCUUGUUGGUGGGGUAGUGGCUUACCAAGGCUUUGACGGGUAGCCGGCCUGAGAGGGUGACCGGCCACAUUGGGACUGAGAUUAGGCCCAGACUCCUACGGGAGGCAGCAGUGGGGAAUAUUGCACAAUGGGCGGAAGCCUGAUGCAGCAACGCCGCGUGCGGGAUGACGGCCUUCGGGUUGUAAACCGCUUUCGCCUGUGACGAAGCGUGAGUGACGGUAAUGGGUAAAGAAGCACCGGCUAACUACGUG
This 468-nucleotide ribosomal RNA is filed under the name uncultured bacterium. Its description in RNAcentral is "partial 16S ribosomal RNA". It matches the Rfam family "Bacterial small subunit ribosomal RNA", at positions 28 to 507 of the family's 1533-position model. The record is from RNAcentral.